Molecule: long non-coding RNA, 1135 nt
Organism: Pungitius pungitius (ninespine stickleback)
Lineage: Eukaryota; Metazoa; Chordata; Actinopteri; Perciformes; Gasterosteidae
Exons: 3
Source: RefSeq, a predicted model, not a curated record
GCCUCAUUAGUGGGAGGUUCCCGUCGCUGUAGAGCUGCAGCUUGUUGAAUCGGGGAAGUCUUGUUAUAUUCUCUCUCUCUCUCUCUCUCUCUCUCUCUCUCUGUCUGUUGCCUGGAUGUUGUUCGGGAAGAUAUCAACCUUUUAUGGGCGAGCGUCUCCCUUUUUGCUCCUCCGGGCGUACGUCUGCCUGUCAAACACAGACACGCACGUCUCAAUCCACCAGCCAGCCAGUGCCGGAGUCUCAUUUCGUAUCACAACAUCUGAGCAGGGAGGCAACAGCAGAAAUCCUCCAGCCGGCAGAGUGAAGAGACGCCGUUGAUCACGCCCCCCCCCCCCCCCCCCCCCCCGCCCGCACGCCCCUCUCCUGUCUCUGCCAUAACGCCGUUCUCUCUUUCACUAACACCAUUUCACACUCUUCUCCACUCACUCUUUCUUUGGGUCUUCCUUCUCUUUUGGGAGAGGGGUCUCCAGUCUUCCAGCUCAGGUGGGCAGCACGACAGCCAACUCCUUCAUUCUACAUCUCUCUCUCUCUCUCUCUGUUCCUUCUGCCUUCCCUCAUCACACACAUCCACACCCUCCACCUCCUCACCCGAGCCUCCUGAGCGCGCCGGAGAGAGAGAGAGAGAGACGCGCGUCAAAAGCGGCCAGGUGGGAGUGGAGCUCGGCGAGCGUGUUUGCGAGCGCGUGUUUCUGUGAACGUGGAGAGGAAGAGGAGGAGGAGGAGACGAGGAGGAGGAGGAGGAGGAGGCAGAGAGCAUCCAGCACAGUCCUACCCAGUCUCUCCUCUCAUCACAACCCACUCUGCGUGGAACAAUCCUCCCCUCGCCGGCUCUAGAUGGACAGCUCCCCAGGCGGCGUCUCACCGGUGAAGACAGCGGCCGCCGGCCGUCUCCGCUCCACGAGCCCCCACAUGCUGGAUUAAAAAGAGGAAAAGUGAGGAGAGGAACAGGGCGGGAUCUCCGAACAUGAGCGAGGAAGCGAAGGAGAAGGCAGGCGGCGGGAAAGCGGCUCAUCGCAAGAAGAAAGGCAAAAAGUCCGACAACAAUGCCAGUUACUUGCGAGCUGCCCGGGCGGAAACCUAGAAAAGGUCCUUGACUACGUCAAGGGUGGGGUUGAGAUCAACAUUUGCAAUCAG